This 436-nucleotide ribosomal RNA is filed under the name uncultured Lactobacillus sp. RNAcentral's name for it is "bacterial SSU rRNA". It matches the Rfam family "Bacterial small subunit ribosomal RNA", at positions 34 to 435 of the family's 1533-position model. Lineage: Bacteria; Bacillati; Bacillota; Bacilli; Lactobacillales; Lactobacillaceae. The record is from RNAcentral.
GACGAGCCGCUGGCGGCGUGACCUAAUACAUGCAAGUCGAGCGAGGCGGAACCAACAGAUUUACUUCGGUAAUGACGUUAGGAAAGCGAGCGGCGGAUGGGUGAGUAACACGUGGGGAACCUGCCCCAUAGUCUGGGAUACCACUUGGAAACAGGUGCUAAUACCGGAUAAGAAAGCAGAUCGCAUGAUCAGCUUUUAAAAGGCGGCGUAAGCUGUCGCUAUGGGAUGGCCCCGCGGUGCAUUAGCUAGUUGGUAAGGUAAAGGCUUACCAAGGCGAUGAUGCAUAGCCGAGUUGAGAGACUGAUCGGCCACAUUGGGACUGAGACACGGCCCAAACCCCUACGGGAGGCAGCAGUAGGGAAUCUUCCACAAUGGACGCAAGUCUGAUGGAGCAACGCCGCGUGAGUGAAGAAGGUUUUCGGAUCGUAAAGCUCUG